Molecule: ribosomal RNA, 492 nt
Filed under: uncultured bacterium
Lineage: Bacteria
Description: partial 16S ribosomal RNA
Rfam family: Bacterial small subunit ribosomal RNA
Source: RNAcentral
AGUGAACGCUGGCGGUAGGCCUAACACAUGCCAGUCGAACGGCAGCACAGUAAGAGCUUGCUCUUACGGGUGGCGAGUGGCGGACGGGUGAGGAAUACAUCGGAAUCUACUUUUUCGUGGGGGAUAACGUAGGGAAACUUACGCUAAUACCGCAUACGACCUACGGGUGAAAGCAGGGGAUCUUCGGACCUUGCGCGAUUGAAUGAGCCGAUGUCGGAUUAGCUAGUUGGCGGGGUAAAGGCCCACCAAGGCGACGAUCCGUAGCUGGUCUGAGAGGAUGAUUAGCCACACUGGAACUGAGACACGGUCCAGACUCCUACGGGAGGGAGCAGUGGGGAAUAUUGGGCAAUGGGCGGAAGCCUGAUCCAGCCAUACCGCGUGGGUGAAGAAGGCCUUCGGGUUGUAAAGCCCUUUUGGUGGGAAAGAAAAGCAGCAGGUUAAUACCCCGCUGUUCUGACGGUACCCAAAGAAUAAGCACCGGCUAACUUCGUG